AAAGUUAUAUUCUUUAUUCUGAGUGGAGUGAAGAAGCUUAUGGUUUUACAAAUAUGUUUAUUUAUAUUUUUUUCUGUGGACAACUUUUCUACCAGAAAUUUUACUCCGAUAUUUAAGUGUAGCACAUUUUCUAAAAAGAAAUUUGACUAGAAAGGUACUCUGAAGAUGUCUUUUUUGAUUUUCUCCGGGAAAUUUUUCAAUCAAUGAGACAAACCGGGAAAAACAUGAGAUAACCGUAGGAAAAAUCGGAAAAUAAGUACA
Molecule: non-coding RNA, 261 nt
Organism: Cinara cedri
Lineage: Eukaryota; Metazoa; Arthropoda; Insecta; Hemiptera; Aphididae
Source: the annotation of a GenBank genome assembly